Molecule: long non-coding RNA, 2275 nt
Filed under: Gallus gallus (chicken)
Lineage: Eukaryota; Metazoa; Chordata; Aves; Galliformes; Phasianidae
Description: lncRNA (ENSGALG00010022490.1)
Source: RNAcentral
CUCUGAACAUCCCAUGGGCUCUCAAGGCUGAUUUCUGUGCAAGCAGGAGUUGUUACUUUGGCAAAUGAAUAUUCAGCCAUGUGCUUAGAAAUCUCAUUUUCUCCCCUGGUACAAAGUGGGAACAACUGCAUGCAUUCUUGUUACGUUGUAAUUCCUGCAACAGGGGAUCCUAAUGCAGUGUUGCUUGGUGCCUUGUGAACUCCAGCACUGGCUAUUUUCAUCUUUAAGCCACAGUUAAUCCAUGACCUUAGUGCUUUUGUCUCCGGGUCUGAAUUAUCAUGGCAAUGCCGAAUAAGUAUUCCUAUGGGGAAAGCAAAAAUGCUUUUCUGGGUGUUUAGGAUUCCUGCCAAGUGGACACAAAGUCAAUUGAAGCAGAAAGGUACCCCACACUCUGCAGUGGCCACUGCAAUGGCAAGUCCUGGAUCCCUCUUCUCUUGGAGCAGCUCAGCAGAGGAGCACAAAGACAUCAGUGCUGGCAUGGCUCACCCAGCAGCACACCUCUGGAAGACUGAAUGCUGCUCAGGCAACUCCACUCACUCCCCCAGCAUUGCUCAAGGCCUGCUACUCCCAUGCACGCCCCACCUAAAGAGCAGGAUGUGGCCUAUGUUUCCCGAUCUCAACCAGGCUAUGGCCCAUGCUCAGCCGCAGCAUAUCCCUCUUUUCCAAAGACCAAAAGUGUUGGGGCACAUGCGAACAUGGUGAGAAUGUUCUAGAAGACUGACAGGGGUUCAGUAAUCCCAGCAGCCCAACAGACUGGCACCACAGCACAGGAGCUGAAAUUGCAUUGAUGGUAAGGCAGAGAAGGCUGAGAAAAUAAGGCACUCUCACCGUGAUGCAGUGAUGUUUCAAGAUACCCAUUUAUUUUUCUUCCUCCGGAAGCCCCAGGACCACGGUGGCUUUUCAGGCUGUAUCAGGACACAGCAGAGCAUGGGAAGGGUGGGGAUGUCAUGCUCCUUCAUGAUCAGCCAGAGAAGGCUGCACAGCACCCCAGCAGGCUUCGCAGAUUGCAGUUAGCUGAGAAUAGUUUGGUGUCUUUCCUAUUCUGAGGACUUCUUUCUCAAUGUGUGUGUGAACGAGCAAGCAAUCAGCCAUUAGGACAGGAAGCUCACAGAACGGCUUGGGUUGGAAGGGACCCUAAAGAUCAUGUAGUUAUUUGCUGCACAAGCAUCACGUGUGGUGCAGGCUCGCUCACAACAGGUGAGUGCGUGGAGAUGCAGAGAUGCAGCCUUGUCUAGCUAUUCUGAAGAGCAGUUCCUUUGCAGAUGACUGCUUGCACCAGUUUUAAAGCUGGAUGCAAGAGACCCAUUGCUGUUGUUAGAGCUGGCUGUAUGCUGGCAACCCAAGGCUGGAAGCACUCUGGCUUUGCUGAGCCCAAGAAGGCAGCAUGAGUGAAUUACCUUAAAUUAAACACAGUUCAUACACAGAGGCAUAACAGAGGCACAGUGGGAGCUUUGUGCCGUUACAGGUUGCAUUAGAGAUGUGCUGAUGUAGAACUCUACCAGUGUGAAGACUCCUGCACAGCACUCAGCUGAGAUGUGACCUUUUCCUCCUGGUGAGCCUGCAGCAGCUACGCACGGCUUUGCAGGUGAUGAUCUGCUCACAUGUUCUUCUGUACUCAUCAAAUAAAAUCUACUAACAGCUGCAUAGGGCUUCAGCAUUUAGUUUAGAAUACUUGGGAGGCACUGUUUUGUCUAGAAGUGAAUUCUGAACUGAUUACUUUAAGGCUUUCCCUUACUGCAGAAAGUAGUGGUGCUUCUGUUCUUUGUUCCAAGGGAAGUGCAGGUGGUGGGAACUUGCACUUCCACAUCUCUUUUCUUUUGCCUCGAAAUUUCACAGCACCUUUCCUCAUGCUGGGGGAAAGAACAACCGAUGCCCGAGUGUGAGGGACAGCAGGAGACAAUGUUGAGUUGCACCUGGCUUUAAAGGAUGGCUACAAUUUUUAUCUAAAGCUUCCAAAUUGUAAAACAAAUAAACAAACUAAAAGAAAAGAAGACACCUUUUAGAUAAGGCAAUAAUGUUUCUUUUCCCUCAGGAUGCUGAAAACAGCACAACACGAAAACAACUCCAAAUGAAGUUGCUUAAAGUGCUUCCUAUCUGAGAAACGCAGGGGGAAAGUGAUGCUAUCAAAAGUGUUGCACGUGGGAUUCUUUGAGUAUGCGUUCACUUCUUCAAGAUUCCAUACCCGGCAUUUUUCUUUCUUUUUUUUUUUUAAUGCAACAAAACUCUGCUGCCUGUGAGUGAGGAAGUGGCUCUUCCUCCCAGGACCUCGCUCUGC